CUCCCAAGGUGGUGGGAUAACAGUGAUGCAUGCUUUGUUGUGAUAUUUCCAUGUAUUGUGUUAGAUGCAGAUGGUUGUUCGCAGAAGUCAGUGUAAAUAAUACGGGUUAUGCCUGUUCAGCUAUUGCAUGGGCUUCCAGGAUGCUACAGCUGCUGAGGGAAGAGGAGGUACAGCCUUUGGGAAGAGAGGAGAUAGGAAUUGUCCUUCAUUUCCGUUCUAAAACACUGGCAGUAUUGGUAAAUAUUGGCAAGAAAAGCUGCAUUGUUGACCCAGCCAUAGCACAGCUGUUUGCCCCAAUGUAAAAUCAGUCCCUGAGUUUUUGCUGCAGUGCUGCUGGAUACAGCAGGAACAGCAACAGCUGACCCUUGGAUAGCAAGAGAUGAUGGAACUUAAUUCACUUUACUGAGCUUGUUUUUCACUGAGCAGUAACUCAAAUACAUGUUUUCGUCAAACACUUAAUCAAAGAACUACACAAAUGCUGCAAAAUGUUUGCAAAGCAAAACAUUUGUCUAUUUAGAUAUUGAGGGAAUUACUCUAUUGAGAGAUUUGUUCCUGCUUAUGAGGUUUUUCUGUUACUCAAAGCCAGAAUGUUGACAACAUCCACUCCUGAAACAAGUCUUAAUUUUGAAAUCUAUGCAGUAUCUUCUGCUGCUGGAGGCUUUUAUGUAUUAACCUUAACAGAAGGCUCAAGGGCUGAAAUGAAAUCCUUGGCAAAGGUACAAGAUUCAGAGCAUUGCAUAUCUUGCAGUUCAGGUUUGGCUUGUCUGCUUUUCAGCUCUUCUAGACAUUGGAAAUACCAGUUUGUGUUUAUUUUCUCUGGAUUCCUUCCCACAAGACAGAAGUGAAUUCAGCACGGAUUAUUGGGGAGAGCCUUGGCUGGGAAUAAGGAUAAUUGCAGCCUCUGGCUGUGCCACAGUUUCACUGAUGAUUUCUUUUAAGUUACUCACCUGCACUGUAUCUGUUUCUUCAGCUGUAAAAUGUGGGUAAUUACCUCCAUUGUAAAAUGUUACAGGGUCUGCUGGUAAUUAUAUGAACGAAGUGCUAAUUACAGUGAUUAUCCGUUGGACCUAGUCUAGAUCUGGCUGAUGUUCCUGUUGUGAUGAACGUAUGAAACAAAUACUACAAGUUGCUUUUCUCCAUUCUUUGUGAGGGGCCUGGAAGGUGCUGCAUCAUGCGAUGUGUUCCCAGUGAGAAGCUCUGCUGCCCUGUCACCCAGGUCCCUCUGUUCAUUUCUUGUUCCCCUCUGCCCUCGUGUGUUACAGGGCUGUGGAGAGGCUGAGGAAUUACUGAUUCACUAGCUGGAGCCACAUACGAUCUGAUAGCCAGGGUUUAUGUUGUGGCUUCACUUUUCCUCUUGGGGAUUAUGAGGAAGGCAGCAGCCAGGGAACUGUACUCCCAAGAUACCAGUUGGGUUGGGGCCAGUCUGUGCUGCCUAGUGGCCUCCAUUCUUUAAGAAAUUCUGACCUUGAUGCCAGGAGAGGUGUCCUUCCAGCUGUGGAGAUUAUUUCUCUCCUGUAAAAGCCUACAGCUUGCAAGACUUUAUUAUCAAA
Molecule: long non-coding RNA, 1550 nt
Organism: Hirundo rustica (Barn swallow)
Lineage: Eukaryota; Metazoa; Chordata; Aves; Passeriformes; Hirundinidae
Exons: 2
Source: RefSeq, a predicted model, not a curated record